CAAGAGAUUUUGAGGGUUAAUUAAAACAUUAAGUCUUUGAAUGCCAAUAGAAAGCUGUUGAAGGCAAAACCUCCGCUAACGUCGGUCACCGGUGACCACCACGACGUUCAAUGUGUUAAGGAUUGGCCACCAAAAGCUCUACAAAGAGUCGAGUGGAAGGAAAGUAGGGAGGCUUUUGGCCUGCAGUACGAUGACCAUGGCUGAAAAUAAAUAAAUAAUUAAGACAUAAUAUGCACAAGUUUUGCUCUUUAGAACUAUGUCUGACAAUCUUAUUGAAGAAUCAGAAUCCUAAUCAGGAACCAAAGGUUUUUUGACAAUAUUCCAUAGUGUCGCACGAUAUAUUAAGCUAAACAUUCCUUUCCUUGGUAUUUAACAUGAGAUAGACAUAUUAAAUAUGUAUGUUUCUUGUACAAGUGUUUCGUAUUUCACUGGCAUUGACAACUUUAUGCAUCAAUUGUAGUAAUCUAUAUUGAAAGUAUGAUUCCAUUCAAUAAUAUACGUUAAGUUAUAUAAUAAAAGGUUCUGUUUAGGUGUUGUUAUAAACAAACAUAAUGUAAAUAGAAGACAGUCUGAUAGAAAUAACGGCUUGAAAUGUUUAGUCCAGAAAACAAAUCACCAGGAUUUUUUAUGAGAUAGCGGACAAAUGAGGAGACUCAUCACCUAAUGGUAAGUGAUCAGAGUCGCCAAUGGCAAUAAAAGAUCAAUCAAUGUAACUUGGGUAGAAUAGUAACUUAAUAUUCUCAUAACGCUUUCGAUUAGUCCUGCAUAAGGCCAAAUAUUUGUAAAAAAAACAUUGGUAAAUAAACCAAAGUAAUGGACAAACAGAUGUAAAUAAAAACAAUCGCCAUUUAUCGAGGCAUCAAUUGCGGAAGAGGAGAGUUAUUUGAUAAAUUUUGCUGUAAACAAUCGAAGGUCAAUGUAAAUUAUUAUUAAUUGAAAUUGAAAACUAUUUAUUAUAUAAAAAACAUUUAUUACGAGAAAUUAUGUAUGUGCAAAGCCAGAGCAAAUUGCUAAUAUGCGUUAAAAACAUACUAAAAAGCAAAAACGGAGGCGGACCUUUCAGUUUUUCCCGCAAAGUCAAUACAAGUUUAAAGGUAUCCUAAGAACGAGAAAAACAGUUAAGAUAGCCAACAAUAACGAUAAUUCGAUAAGGCAAAACAUUUAAAAGUCAGAAAGUAAGCGAGGUCGGCGGUUGCCCGGACGAGUCAAGUUGAAGGCCACAGAUAAACAUAUUAUGAACGUACUCCGCAACGAUAUUGUUUUGUAUGACGCUAUUGACACGGUGGGUACGUGUUUUCUUUAAAUUCUAUAAGAAAAUUACAAGGUGUUCCCAUGGGUGGUAUAUUGGGGCCAAUAUUGACCUUGAAACUAAGUUUUCUUUAAGUAUUUUAUUUAUGUCUGGCCUUCGAUAUUUCUUGAAGGUCGCAAGCAGGAAUACUAGUACUUGUAAUAAUAGUAGUCGCAGCUGCUAAUACUAAUCAAUCAGGCCCGUGUAAUAGUGGCAAUGUAAUUGUUGAAAAUGAAUCAUACGAUAUCUAUUUUCGAUGGUUUUCGUUGAACAAGGCAGGCUUCAAAGAAGCUAUUAGAUGUAAUGAGCGUGAAGUAGGUACAUUUAAAUACUUGAAUAUAAAGUUCUAUACUCGACAUACAUUUAUUUUAAGACGUUAGUUACUAAGUUAUCAUACAAUAAAAUCUUACAAAACGAGAUAAUUAACAUUGAUGAGGUAAAUGAUAAAAAAAAACACAAUUUUAAUGUUCAUAACGAUUUCCUUUGCAAAUAAAAUAAAUACGACCGAUUCUACCAUAACUAUCUAAAACCUUUCAUAAUUCACACUCGUCCAACUAAAUAUUUAAAUUCUUAACAAAUUAAACGGAUGAUUGAAAAAAAAGAUCACACGCAAUGUAGAAUUUUCCUGUCGACGGAACUGGGCGGCCAUUUUAGAGUCCGAAUUCAAAUUUUAAUGUCUAACAGUUGUCAGUACUGCAAGCAGUGGGUGCAACAUAAUAUAGCAAGCAGGGUCCUUAGACAAAGUAACAUCGCUUGGUAGCGAAACGAUAUCUAAAAUCGUCAUCGUCUCAACGAUAACGACAAACAUUUCUUAGACAAAGUAACAUCGCGAUCGUUAUCGUUGUGUCGAAUCGAUUGUUCGCUAAAAAGCAAAAAUAUUGUUUAUGGUAACGAAAAUUUAGCUGUCAGUGUCACUCAAGAAGUUCAAAUCGGAUUAUUCCCGCGAGUUAUUACUGUUUUCGAAUUUUACUGAUAAGAAUAAGUGAGUUGUUGGCGAUCGCCGUACUUCGUGAGGGUGAUGUUAUCACAGUCAGCGACGUUGGAGUGCUGGGUGACGUCACGGGAUCGGCACGGUGGUCGCCGCACCGGUGGGCUUCAAGUGGUUGUGCUGCGAUGCCCAGACGUAAAUAUCCGAAAACUGCUGGGCUCAAGUGCUCCCCAAGAGAAAUAUGACUUUAUAAGUUCAAUUUCGAACUAGCCCUCGUAUAAGACAGUCCACGUUAUUUCUAUGAUAGUGAUGAAACAUGGAAUGGAGUGCGAACAAGUUCCCAACAAUUGUCAAUGCUGCUUGAGGAUAUAGCAAAUCAUGGUGACCCGGCGAGGCCUCUUGCUGCAUCACUAGGUUGGGUACGGUCAGACUGACUGUGGUCUGAACUGACAAACAUAUUGAAUGCUGUUGGUGGUGGUGGCAGCAAGACUACAGAUAAGUGAUAAAAAGCGUGGUCAGCGGUUGAGAUGGCCGGCGACACCGCAGUCUGCUGUUUCUCCCGGCCCUCGUUUGAGCGACCCCCUUCGAGAUAGCGGCAAGCGAGUAGCUAAAAAGCUAAGAGCACACAGCACCUGAAAAUUAUAAUAAUACAGAUUUAGA
Long non-coding RNA from Spodoptera frugiperda (fall armyworm), 2876 nucleotides. RefSeq lists it as uncharacterized. Lineage: Eukaryota; Metazoa; Arthropoda; Insecta; Lepidoptera; Noctuidae. The transcript is spliced from 4 exons. The record is from RefSeq and is a predicted model, not a curated record.